This 253-nucleotide ribosomal RNA is filed under the name uncultured bacterium. RNAcentral's name for it is "partial 16S ribosomal RNA". It matches the Rfam family "Bacterial small subunit ribosomal RNA", at positions 524 to 776 of the family's 1533-position model. The record is from RNAcentral.
UACAGAGGUCCCAAGCGUUGUUCGGAUUCAUUGGGCGUAAAGGGUGCGUAGGCGGCGCGGUAAGUCGGGUGUGAAAUCUCGGAGCUUAACUCCGAAACUGCAUUCGAUACUGCCGUGCUUGAGGACUGGAGAGGAGACUGGAAUUUACGGUGUAGCGGUGAAAUGCGUAGAUAUCGUAAGGAAGACCAGUGGCGAAGGCGGGUCUCUGGACAGUUCCUGACGCUGAGGCACGAAAGCGUGGGGAGCAAACAGA